AUUAAACGCUGGGAAAGGAAAUUUUAGGGUGAUAGGGAACAUGUUACGCAACAAGGAAAAUAUCUUUUCAUAUUUUCAAGUAUGUCAGAAAAGGUUUUGGAAAUCAGUAUAUAAAGCCAUUUCGUUUUUCUGGAGUCAUCAUUCGAGUCUCCUUCAGACGAAGAAAUAGCGAAUUCUAUCUUCGAUCAAUACAACUGUAUUUAAAAUGAAGUGCUUCGCCGGACGAUUCCUUAUGGUCUUAGCCUUGACCCUUGCCCUCAUGACCACAGUCAUGAUUCCAGGCACAGAAGCUGGAGGAAACCACCACGGAGGUGGAGGCAGUGGGAUUGCAGGCAUCUUAGCUUCCGGACUCGUGGUGUCCCUCCUCAGAGGCAGAAGGAGUGUCGAUACCAGAGAAUGGAGAGUCUAAUGAUGUCUCACAUAUAUAAAUUUUGAGAAACUGUAUAGAUUAUUGUACAUAAAAUGUAUUUUAUAGUGUUUGUGUAAGUAAUAGAAUCUAAUAUCACUUUGUCUGUUACGUAUAUUGAUAUAUGUAAUAAAAUUUGUAGAAUUUACUAUUAGUUUAAUGCUCCUAUCUUACCUCAUUACACACAUGGUGAUUGUAAAUUCCUCGGUCGAACAAUAUUUCCACGAUGGAACUUAUUCUUAUGUUUAUCUUAACGUAUUAAGUUAUAUGUUAUUGCAAGAAAUGUGCACCGAAACUAAAACAACAAUUUUAGUCUGAAAACUUUAAAUAACAGUAAAAUAGUUACUGUUAAAGCUCUAAAAAACACUAUGAAAAGUAUUUAUAAAAUUAAAAAGAAACAUGAGCCCCAUUUUACCUUAUGUGUAUCGCAUGUGGAUUUCAGAGUAACAUCUGAAGGAGUUUUAAACCAAGCAGUUACUAAUUAAACUAUUUUCCCAGAAAUUAAUUACUUACUAAUUAAAAACUAUUUCCCCAGAAAUUAAAAAUUCAGAAUAUGAAAUCUUAUAUUUAAAAUAGGCUGCUAAAAAUAGCAAAUGCAACUGAUAGAACAAAGUUUAUUUUGAUAUUACUUCGGGUAAAAUUAACUCCUCGUAGAGACUUCUGCACUCAUUUAAUAAAAAAAGAGACCUAAAUUUUCAGGUCAUAACUGUGCAUUUUUUUCAUUAGAUUAUGAGGUAUUCCUCCCGCCUUCUUAACAUGCCUUCGUGGUGUAGUAGUCAGCACGCUUGGCGCGUAUUCGAGAGGACCGUGGGUCGAGUCCCGGUGACGGAAUUGCUCAUUUUUGAUGCCUUCUCCUUCAAAACAACCUAAUGUCUCUGCACGUUUACAAAAAUUCCAGAAUACUGAUAUAUUUCUUUUGAUAAGAAUAAACUUUAUUAACCUAUUAUCGGACUUUUCCAUUCAAUCUAUUACGAACCCGUAC
Long non-coding RNA from Stegodyphus dumicola, 1388 nucleotides. RefSeq lists it as uncharacterized. Lineage: Eukaryota; Metazoa; Arthropoda; Arachnida; Araneae; Eresidae. The record is from RefSeq and is a predicted model, not a curated record.